Molecule: ribosomal RNA, 242 nt
Filed under: uncultured bacterium
Lineage: Bacteria
Description: partial 16S ribosomal RNA
Source: RNAcentral
UGCAGUCGAACGGUAGCACAGAGAACUUGGUCCCUUGUGAGGAGAGUGGGACAGGUGAGUAAUGUCUGGGAAACUGCCUGAUGUAGGGGGAUAUCUACUGGAAACGGUUACUCUUACCCCACAAAGUCCCUAGACCUGAAAGGGGGACCUUCUGGCCUCUUGCCAUCUUAUGUGCCCCGAUGGGAUUAUUAUAGUAUGUGGGGUAACGGCUCCCUAAGCGACAAUCCCUAUCUGGUCUGAGA